GUCAGUGGUUCCUGAGGAAGAUCUGUUCUGACUUGCUCAGCUGCAGCUUGAGGCUAUUGUUCCUAGUUCUGUCUGCUACAGCCAAAGAGAAAAGCCCAUCUCUCCAUCCUCUAAUUGUCAUUCAGCCUGUCCUCAUGAGUCUUGCCGGCCUGGCCCCCAUCACUUAUGUGCCUCUGCACAGAACUCUUUCCGAUAUUCCUAUAUACUACUUGAAGUGUGGGAUCCAAGAUUGUAUAUCUGCUGGUGGCCAAAAAUGAUCCCUGGUAUGCACCUGGAGGUUGGAGCUGGCACCUGGAGGGGGAAGGCAGCAGUCCUUCUUUUCAGCCUAAUGAUAAAGGCACAUCCCUAGGACAUGCUAAUCUUGGCUCUUUCUCCCACCUUUUUAAUUUACAUUUCCUACUUUCCAGUAAUUUGCUUCUCUGACCAAAAAGAGAAGAUUUUUAUCCCACCUGUAUGUCCGUGUAGCAGCUUUUUUUUUUUUUUUUUAAAUGCUUCUAAAGUUAUGUCUAUCCACACCCCAGGUGCACAGAACUUUCUGACUAGUGGAGCAAGGCUUUCUUACCGCUCCUUCCAGGUCACAAAGUGCUCCCAGAUAAUCCCACUCUAUGCAUUAAAUCAAUUGGAGUAAAAGAAUGUGUUCCUGUAUAUACUAAAAGCACAGGCACUCAUGACAUGAAAAAGACCCUCUACACACCUUAUGCCUUACCCUGGCCUGGCCUCUGGAAGAUCAGUUCUGCAAGUGACCCUGAAGGAGCCAUGAGGAUAUCUGGACUUUGAUCUUCACCACAUCUUUCACUAAUGAAGUCCUUGACUGUGGACCUAGCUAUGACAUAUCAGAAAAGGAAAUACCAAGUAUUUGGCUCAAAAGAAAAAUUGGGGCA
Long non-coding RNA from Alligator mississippiensis (American alligator), 881 nucleotides. RefSeq lists it as uncharacterized. The transcript is spliced from 3 exons. The record is from RefSeq and is a predicted model, not a curated record. Lineage: Eukaryota; Metazoa; Chordata; Crocodylia; Alligatoridae.